CAUAGCUUCUUGCCUUUUAUAAGAAGUGAUGCCUGCCCAGUGAUUUUUUCAACGGCCGCGGUAUUUUGACCGUGCUAAGGUAGCAUAAUAAUUUGUUUUUUAAAUAAAAACUAGUAUGAAUGGCUUUACAUUUUCUAACUGUCUCUCUUUUUUUUCUUUAAAAUUUCUAUUUUUGUGAAGAAGCAAAAAUAUUUUAGUAAGACGAGAAGACCCUAUCGAGCUUUAGUUAAUAGAAUAAUUAUUUCAUUUUAUUUUUAAACUUUGGUUGGGGCAACCAUGGAGAAAUAUAAACCUCCAGAUUUUAAAGAAGAUUCUAAAUCUCUUUUUUAUUUAUUGAACCAAUUUUUUUGGUAAUCAGAAUUAGUUACCGUAGGGAUAACAGCGUAAUCUUCUUUGAGAGUUCUUAUUGACAAGAAGGUUUGCGACCUCGAUGUUGGAUUGGGAUUACCAAAAAGUGCAGCCGCUUUUUUAGGUUGGACUGUUCGUCCAUUAAAAUCCUACGUGAUC
RNAcentral lists this ribosomal RNA (507 nucleotides) under Rhipidothuria racovitzai. Its description in RNAcentral is "partial 16S ribosomal RNA". It matches the Rfam family "Bacterial large subunit ribosomal RNA", at positions 1814 to 2605 of the family's 2925-position model. The record is from RNAcentral. Lineage: Eukaryota; Metazoa; Echinodermata; Holothuroidea; Elasipodida; Elpidiidae.